This 1372-nucleotide ribosomal RNA is filed under the name uncultured bacterium. Its description in RNAcentral is "bacterial SSU rRNA". It matches the Rfam family "Bacterial small subunit ribosomal RNA", at positions 28 to 1381 of the family's 1533-position model. The record is from RNAcentral.
GAUGAACGCUGGCGGCGUGCCUAAUACAUGCAAGUCGAGCGAACGGACGAGAAGCUUGCUUCUCUGAUGUUAGCGGCGGACGGGUGAGUAACACGUGGAUAACCUACCUAUAAGACUGGGAUAACUUCGGGAAACCGGAGCUAAUACCGGAUAAUAUUUUGAACCGCAUGGUUCAAAAGUGAAAGACGGUCUUGCUGUCACUUAUAGAUGGAUCCGCGCUGCAUUAGCUAGUUGGUAAGGUAACGGCUUACCAAGGCAACGAUGCAUAGCCGACCUGAGAGGGUGAUCGGCCACACUGGAACUGAGACACGGUCCAGACUCCUACGGGAGGCAGCAGUAGGGAAUCUUCCGCAAUGGGCGAAAGCCUGACGGAGCAACGCCGCGUGAGUGAUGAAGAUCUUCGGAUCGUAAAACUCUGUUAUUAGGGAAGAACAUAUGUGUAAGUAACUGUGCACAUCUUGACGGUACCUAAUCAGAAAGCCACGGCUAACUACGUGCCAGCAGCCGCGGUAAUACGUAGGUGGCAAGCGUUAUCCGGAAUUAUUGGGCGUAAAGCGCGCGUAGGCGGUUUUUUAAGUCUGAUGUGAAAGCCCACGGCUCAACCGUGGAGGGUCAUUGGAAACUGGAAAACUUGAGUGCAGAAGAGGAAAGUGGAAUUCCAUGUGUAGCGGUGAAAUGCGCAGAGAUAUGGAGGAACACCAGUGGCGAAGGCGACUUUCUGGUCUGUAACUGACGCUGAUGUGCGAAAGCGUGGGGAUCAAACAGGAUUAGAUACCCUGGUAGUCCACGCCGUAAACGAUGAGUGCUAAGUGUUAGGGGGUUUCCGCCCCUUAGUGCUGCAGCUAACGCAUUAAGCACUCCGCCUGGGGAGUACGACCGCAAGGUUGAAACUCAAAGGAAUUGACGGGGACCCGCACAAGCGGUGGAGCAUGUGGUUUAAUUCGAAGCAACGCGAAGAACCUUACCAAAUCUUGACAUCCUUUGACAACUCUAGAGAUAGAGCCUUCCCCUUCGGGGGACAAAGUGACAGGUGGUGCAUGGUUGUCGUCAGCUCGUGUCGUGAGAUGUUGGGUUAAGUCCCGCAACGAGCGCAACCCUUAAGCUUAGUUGCCAUCAUUAAGUUGGGCACUCUAAGUUGACUGCCGGUGACAAACCGGAGGAAGGUGGGGAUGACGUCAAAUCAUCAUGCCCCUUAUGAUUUGGGCUACACACGUGCUACAAUGGACAAUACAAAGGGCAGCGAAACCGCGAGGUCAAGCAAAUCCCAUAAAGUUGUUCUCAGUUCGGAUUGUAGUCUGCAACUCGACUACAUGAAGCUGGAAUCGCUAGUAAUCGUAGAUCAGCAUGCUACGGUGAAUACGUUCCCGGGUCU